GCACCCACGCGGCGCAGCUCCCAAAGUUGCAGACAGCCCGGCGAACCGCGCAAUGCGCUUCUUCUGCCUGCAGCAGAGAAAAGGAAAGAAAACUCCGCAGGGGCUCCGUUGGCUUCUCCACGAGUGACAACCAUGUUUUCCCAGAUAGAAGACCGGAGCCCUGCUCCUUUGCGAUCCGCCGAGGGCUGCAGAGAGCAUCCUCAUCCAUUUGGGCACCCCUGCCCAGGAAGAGCCCGGCCAUCCCUUUCCGGACUGGAUCCUUAAGAGGUGAAUUUUCUUCCGUGGAUUCCGAUUUGCUCCGUCUGACCAGCCUAGGCAAUCCAGCAUCGCGUGGUACCAGUGCCGCUGGGCACACUGGCUUCACGCCGGCUCCGCCUCACCAGCAAGCGCAUUCCCAGGUGGUCAGGCUCAGGAUGGACCAUGAGCUUUCAAAAAGGAAAAAGGGUAAUCUUGGAGGCCACAUUUUGAAGAUGGCAGAAAUACUACAUAGAAAGUCUAGAUCCUUGGGUCACCAUUUGGAAGAGAGCUGCCUGACCAGGAACAUAUGUAAUUGACUCUGCCUACGUGGAAAAUAAAUUUAUACUAUAAUAA
Molecule: long non-coding RNA, 591 nt
Filed under: Homo sapiens (human)
Lineage: Eukaryota; Metazoa; Chordata; Mammalia; Primates; Hominidae
Description: DPPA2 upstream binding RNA
Source: RNAcentral